UGACCUCAGCUUAGACGAGACUACCCGCUAAACUUAAGCAUAUUGUUA
This 48-nucleotide ribosomal RNA is filed under the name Eucoleus aerophilus. Its description in RNAcentral is "partial 28S ribosomal RNA". The record is from RNAcentral. Lineage: Eukaryota; Metazoa; Nematoda; Enoplea; Trichinellida; Capillariidae.